CCACCAGCCACCACAACAUGCUGAUGCUUCUAACGCAUGAGCCCCAAUUAACUCUCCCACCCAGUUCCUCAAUUAACUCCACAGUCCAUUGAUUUCCGUAACUCUAUUCAUCUUCUCCACUGAGUAAUCGGUGCUGUGGAUCUCCCCUUUAAGCUUCCAUCUUUGCUCACAUGGAUCCCCCUUGCCUAACCUAGGGUGGGUGGUCGGACCGAGGUGAGCUCCCCUCCCGGCGCCACGCCUGCCACUGCCGGCGCCAUCGACUGCCACCCCUCCUUCUCCGCCCCCGCUGCUGUCCUUGGUGGCCUCCGACGGGCCCUGCUUCAUCUGUCUCUCCCUGCAGAUGGACGACAUGAAGAGGAGAUUGCUGCAUGCGGUGGUGGCCUAUACUGGUGGUCCGAAUCAGACUGGCCGCUGGUGUCUCACCUGGAAGGAAGCUCUGCCCGACGACUCAGCCAUGGAGUGGAUGCCGCAUGGGCCAGGUCCCUAGCCGGUGCAUGGAUUUCUUUUCGGCCUCGAAGGGAUGGGCUGAUGGUGACGCCGGUGAGGCCUCCAUUGCAGGAGCGUUGGAUCGACCUCGACUCCGAUUUAGAGUCGGCUUGCUCCCCCAACGUCACCUGUACCAAAGGAGCCAUUUUUCGGAGAAAGCUCUGUUUGGUCUCCAUCCACAUCCUACUGGCAGCAAACCCGGAUGAGGAGGUGUAGUGUGAACAACUCUACCUAUCGAUCAACAAUAAAUGAUCUGUCCAGUGAAAGGUUUCUUUUCAUAAGCAUGUUCUAGGCAUUUUUGUUUUUGAAUCUUGAACUGAUAGCAAAAUGUUUCAGAUAAUGUUCUCUUGAUUUCUGAUAUUGAAUAGUUAAAGAUGAAUCCAGCCACAUUUCUCUACUGUACUUAUUGAUACAAGCUUUGAUUUUUUGGACCACAACUGUUUUACCUCCGACAAUGCCAUCGAGCAUCAGCUCCCUAUAUUUUGCUAUAUAUAAUUUUUUUAAAGUUUAUACUCUACUGUAGAGUUUUUUUAUCAGGAACUAAUUGGGGCUUUCUCUAUAAGUAGCGCUUUUUAUACAGCUCUGACCUCUACUCUUUUUCUUGGUGUAGAUUAUCAUCUUUCUCCUACGAUGUUGCACAUUAUAUUAUUUGAGCAUUGCUACCUUUGGUUGCAUUGCUCCAGUUUUUAUGGCAUGACAUUAGAACCAUGUAACAAAGGAAUUCCGGUUUUAGUUGAAACCUGACUCCAAUGACAUAGUAGAUACAAAUUGCAUUGGGAUUUAGAUCUACACGUUUGGACUUCAACUAUUUGUCAUGCCUAACAUCACGUUAUUCGAUGGAGGAUGUACGAGUGUAAUGUAUUCCUUAUGAAGAUGUAAAAUUUAUGGUCAAUGAACAGAAUUGCUUCACUUGGUAAUAUUAAAUAUGAACACAGUU
This is a long non-coding RNA of Triticum urartu, 1423 nucleotides long. RefSeq lists it as uncharacterized. Lineage: Eukaryota; Viridiplantae; Streptophyta; Magnoliopsida; Poales; Poaceae. The record is from RefSeq and is a predicted model, not a curated record.